UCUUCGGAUGCUGACGAGUGGCGAACGGGUGAGUAAUACAUCGGAACGUGCCUAGUAGUGGGGGAUAACUACUCGAAAGAGUAGCUAAUACCGCAUGAGAUCUACGGAUGAAAGCAGGGGACCUUCGGGCCUUGUGCUACUAGAGCGGCUGAUGGCAGAUUAGGUAGUUGGUGGGGUAAAGGCUUACCAAGCCUGCGAUCUGUAGCUGGUCUGAGAGGACGACCAGCCACACUGGGACUGAGACACGGCCCAGACUCCUACGGGAGGCAGCAGUGGGGAAUUUUGGACAAUGGGCGAAAGCCUGAUCCAGCAAUGCCGCGUGCAGGAUGAAGGCCCUCGGGUUGUAAACUGCUUUUGUACGGAACGAAAAGCCUGGGGCUAAUAUCCCCGGGUCAUGACGGUACCGUAAGAAUAAGCACCGGCUAACUACGUGCCAGCAGCCGCGGUAAUACGUAGGGUGCAAGCGUUAAUCGGAAUUACUGGGCGUAAAGCGUGCGCAGGCGGUUUUGUAAGACAGUGGUGAAAUCCCCGGGCUCAACCUGGGAACUGCCAUUGUGACUGCAAGGCUAG
Molecule: ribosomal RNA, 570 nt
Filed under: bacterium RBM-B10
Lineage: Bacteria
Description: bacterial SSU rRNA
Rfam family: Bacterial small subunit ribosomal RNA
Source: RNAcentral